Molecule: ribosomal RNA, 492 nt
Filed under: uncultured bacterium
Lineage: Bacteria
Description: partial 16S ribosomal RNA
Rfam family: Bacterial small subunit ribosomal RNA
Source: RNAcentral
AGUGAACGCUGGCGGUAGGCCUAACACAUGCAAGUCGAACGGCCGCACAGUAAGAGCUUUCCUUUGAUGGUGGCGAGUGACGGACGGGUGACGAAUACAUAGGAAUCCACUUUUUCGUGGGGGAUUUCGUAGGGACACUUCCGAUAAUACCGGAUAUGAUCUACGGCAGAAUGCAAGAGAUCAACGCGCCUUGCGCGUUUGAAUGAGACGGAGUCGGAUUAGCUAGUUGGCGAGGUAAAGGCACACCAAGGCAACGAUCCGUAGCUGGUCUGAGAGGAUGAUCAGCCACACUGGAACUGAGACACGGUCCAGACUCCUACGGGAGGCAGCAGUAGGGAAUAUUCCACAAUGGGCGCAAGCCUGAUCCAGCAAUGCCGCGUGAGUGAUGAAGGUCUUCGGAUUGUAAAACUCUGUUAUUGGGGAAGAAAAUCUGCGUGUUUAACUGUCGCUAUCCUGACGGUACCCAAACAGAAAGCACCGGCUAACUUCGUG